Molecule: ribosomal RNA, 724 nt
Filed under: uncultured eukaryote
Lineage: Eukaryota
Description: SSU rRNA
Rfam family: Eukaryotic small subunit ribosomal RNA
Source: RNAcentral
GGUGUGUACUGGUCUUGAUGGAAGCUUACCUCUUGGGUGGGUCGGCAUGCCCUUCGUUGGGUGUGUCGAUUAACCAGGACUUUUACUUUGAGAAAUUAGAGUGUUCAAAGCAGCUUUCGCCCGAUACAUUAGCAUGGAUAAUAGAUAGGACGCGCGUUCUUUAUUUUGGUGGUUUCUAAAUUCGCCGUAAUGAUUAAUAAGGAUAGUCGGGGCAUCGUAUGCUUGGUCAGAGGUGAAAAUCUGGGAUUCUAGCAAGACGAACUACUGCGAAAGCAUUGCCAAGGAUGUUUUCAUUGAUCAAGAACGAAGGUUAGGGGAUCGAAAACGAUCAGAUACCGUUGUAGUCUUAACAGUAAACUAUGCCGACUAGGGAUCGGACAAGCACAAUCUAUGACUUGUUCGGCACCUGAAGAGAAAUCUUUAAGUCUAGGUUCGGGGGGGAGUAUGGUCGCAAGGCUGAAACUUAAAGGAAUUGACGGAAGGGCACCACCAGGUGUGGAGCCUGCGGCUUAAUUUGACUCAACACGGGGAAACUCACCAGGUCCAGACACAAUAAGGAUUGACAGAUUGAUAGCUCUUUCUUGAUCUUGUGGUUGGUGGUGCAUGGCCGUUCUUAGUUGGUGGAGUGAUUUGUCUGGUUAAUUCCGAUAACGAACGAGACCUUAACCUGCUAAAUAGACCCGGGGCCUUAGGGAACCGGCUGUCUUCUUAGAGGGACUGUAGG